Molecule: ribosomal RNA, 200 nt
Filed under: Malus domestica (apple)
Lineage: Eukaryota; Viridiplantae; Streptophyta; Magnoliopsida; Rosales; Rosaceae
Description: rRNA MD05G0194300
Rfam family: Bacterial large subunit ribosomal RNA
Source: Rfam by way of RNAcentral
UGAGAUAUCCAAUGUAGUCACUAAGUUACUCUAGGGAUAACAGACUGAUCUUCUCCAAGAACUCACAACAACGGGAAGGUUUGGCACAUUGAUGUUGGCUCUUCACCACAUGGGGUUGUAGUAUGUUCCAAGGGUUGGGUUGUUCACCUAUUAAAGAGGUACGUGAGCAGGGUUCAGAACAUCAUGAGACGACCAGACUA